This 1065-nucleotide ribosomal RNA is filed under the name Coltricia confluens. Its description in RNAcentral is "eukaryotic LSU rRNA". It matches the Rfam family "Eukaryotic large subunit ribosomal RNA", at positions 1 to 1066 of the family's 3401-position model. The record is from RNAcentral. Lineage: Eukaryota; Fungi; Basidiomycota; Agaricomycetes; Hymenochaetales; Hymenochaetaceae.
UGACCUCAAAUCAGGUAGGACUACCCGCUGAACUUAAGCAUAUCAUUAAGCGGAGGAAAAGAAACUAACAAGGAUUCCCCUAGUAACUGCGAGUGAAGAGGGAAGAGCUCAAAUUUAAAAUCUGGCAGCUCCGCUGUCCGAGUUGUAAUCUGUAGAAGCAUUUUCUGCAUUGGACCGUGUACAAGUCUCUUGGAACAGAGUGUCAUAGAGGGUGAGAAUCCCGUCCAUGACACGGACUACCAAUGCUCUGUGAUAUGCUCUCAAAGAGUCGAGUUGCUUGGGAAUGCAGCUCAAAAUGGGUGGUAAAUUCCAUCUAAAGCUAAAUACAGGCAAGAGACCGAUAGCGAACAAGUACCGUGAGGGAAAGAUGAAAAGCACUUUGGAAAGAGAGUUAAACAGUAUGUGAAAUUGUUGAAAGGGAAACACUUGAAGUCAGUCACAUCCUGCAGGACUCAGCCUUGCCUUGUUAGGCCUGGUGUAUUUCCUGCAGGAUGGGUCAACAUCAAUCUUGGUCAGUGGAUAAAGGAGGAGGGAAUGUGGCACCCUUGCGGGUGUGUUAUAGCCCUCCUUCAUAUGCACUGACUGGGAUUGAGGACUGCAGCAUGUCCUUUUGGACAUGCUUAGGAUGUUGACAAAAUGGCUUUAAGUGACCCGUCUUGAAACACGGACCAAGGAGUCUAACAUGCCUGCAAGUGUUUGGGUGGAAAACCCUUGCGCACAAUGAAAGUGAAAGUUGGGAACCUCCGCAAGGGGGUGCACUGACACCCAGCCCUGAUGUUUACUGACGGUGCUGCGGUAGAGCAUGUAUGUUGGGACCCGAAAGAUGGUGAACUAUGCCUGAAUAGGGUGAAGCCAGAGGAAACUCUGGUGGAAGCUCGUAGCGAUUCUGACGUGCAAAUCGAUCGUCAAAUUUGGGUAUAGGGGCGAAAGACUAAUCGACCAUCUAGUAGCUGGUUCCUGCCGAAGUUUCCCUCAGGAUAGCAGAAACUCAUAUCAGAUUUAUGUGGUAAAGCGAAUGAUUAGAGGCCUUGGGGUUGAAACAACCUUAACCUAUUCUCAAACUUU